Meleagris gallopavo (turkey) is the source of this 1116-nucleotide non-coding RNA. Lineage: Eukaryota; Metazoa; Chordata; Aves; Galliformes; Phasianidae. The record is from RefSeq and is a predicted model, not a curated record.
CUCUUGCAGCGUGGCGUCAGGCCUUGGGUUGACCUACGCGUGUCAUGCCCUUGUCCUGUCCAUCCUGUGUGAAGGAAAUGGAGUCCUGGCUCUGCCGUACUGGAAAGAUAAGCGCUGCAAUGGCUGGUGCUGGCCCCUGCCCGGGGAUUUUGAGGAGAGGUUGCCAGGAUGAGUUUCUCUGAUGCAUCAGCAGCCAGGGCUGUUGUGCAAGUGAGCAGGUGAGCAAGGUGUGAGGGGAGAGGGCAGGGAGGAGAGGAAUGGAUCAGCCCCUAGUGAUGGAUGGUGGCUGCUCCUCCUUUGUUGCUUUUUGCGUCUCUUGCAACGUACAAGUUUCUGUUUAAAUGGCUUGUUUGUGGCAUGCGUUUGUCCUCUCCACUGGCUGUGAAGCACAUGGAGACCUGAGUCUGCUCUGCUGGAGCAAUUGUUUAAAAGAAACCAUCUUGCAUGCUAUUUUUCCUAGGGGCUUAAAUGUCCGUAGCUCCGUUGUCAUGGGAGCUCUAUUGCCACGCAGUGGAACCCACGUGUUCUGCUGUCACCUUGGUACCAUCCGUGUUACAGUGGUCUAAUGGCGGGUAUUUGCCUCUGUGUCUGUUUUUUUUUUACCAGUUUGGCAUGAUGGAGGUUAAUAAUUGUCCGCAGCCAUGUCUGUCAGGAUGUAACCAUGUGAGCAAGGUCUGAGUGGAGAUGUUGGAGCGGAGAGGAAUGGGUCUGCAGGUAGUGAUGGAUGGUGGCUGCUCCUCCUUUGUUGCUUUUUGUGUCCCUUGCAGCAAUGAGGCAAACUCGAAUUGACGUGCUUGUGGAACGCGCUUGUCCUCCCCAUCAUAUAGGAUGGAAAUGGAAACGUUGGACUUCUCUCCUGGAAGGACAAGUUUGGCUAAAUCCUAGCUGUUAAUGGUUCCCUUGACUCUAGAUUUUGGAGAACAGUUUCUGAGGAUGGUUGUGAAAUAGCGUAGUGAGCUCUGUCUGUCGUGCAAGCAAGCGGGUGAGGAAGUUGUGAGAGGGGAGGGCAGGGAGGGGAGGAAUGGAUCAGCCCCUAGUGAUGGAUGGUGGCUGCUCCUCCUGUGUUGCUUUUUGCAUCUGUUGCAGCCUGGCAGAUGGCCAUGAAUUGACGUGUUU